Chelonoidis abingdonii (Abingdon island giant tortoise) is the source of this 826-nucleotide non-coding RNA. The record is from RefSeq and is a predicted model, not a curated record. NCBI's taxonomy places the organism in Eukaryota, Metazoa, Chordata, Testudines, Testudinidae.
UGCAGAGCUGCUGAGAACUUAUACAAACACCAUACCCUUCUAUAGAGCUGCGGAAGGAUCCGCCGCAGUUGCCGCCAAGUUAGCUGGCAUCUCCUGGAACCACAUAGAGAUGCAGCAUUGAAAUGCCGUGUACCGGGAUAUUUGCUGAUGUCUCUCCGGCCUAGAGAAAGAUCCAAGUCCCACUGUCCAGCUGGUGGCAACUGAGGACUAUAAGAACAUCUGUUACUGAUGGAGUGCUUGAGAAAUGAAGCAGAACGAAAGACAAACGGACCACGGCGCUCCAGUAGUAUAAGGGCUCCUACCAUAAUCAAAUGUUAACCCCACCCCUUGACCAAUAAGCCCUGCCCCACCGGGUCAUCGGAAGACCCACCCAUGGGUAUUACUUCUGGGGCCAAAGGGCGACACAUGACCAGAAGCAAUAUGUGUCAUGCGGACCCCUCUAAGAUUCUUCUCCCUGUCUCUACCAAUCAGAUGGGUAUUUGCCCCAAUAGGAAUGCCCCUGAGAGAAGAUUUGACCAAUCAGAGGAGUUCCGGGGCAGGACCUUCCGGAAGUGAUUUGUGUUGACCCCUCUAAGAACUCCUCCACCGCCUUUUCUGAUCAGGAGGCGUUUCGCCACUGGGGAAUACCCCAAGAGCGGAGUUUGACCAACUUGGGGGAUUCUGGGGUGGGGAUGACCCGUCCGGAAGUGCUUUCAGUGACCCCUCUAAGAAACUCCGCCCAUCACCCUUUACCAAUUGCGAUGGGUUCAGCCUGCAGGGGCUAGCCCCAAGAGGAGCAGGUUGACCAAAAUAGGGUAGGUUCUCGGAAAGGAGUGAACCGCCCAGA